UAAGACGAAGGUGACGACCGUUGCUCGGAAUCACUGGGCAUAAAGCGCGCGUAGGUGGCUUGGUAAGUCCAUGGUGAAAUCCCUCGGCUCAACCGAGGAAGUGCCGUGGAUACUGCCGAGCUUGAGGACGGGAGGGGUGAGUGGAACUCUCGGUGUAGCGGUGAAAUGCGUAGAUAUCGAGAGGAACGCCGGUGGCGAAAGCGACUCACUGGACCGUAUCUGACACUGAGGCGCGAAAGCUAGGGGAGCAAACAGGAUUAGAUACCCUGGUAGUCCUAGCUGUAAACGAUGAGUACUGGGUAGAGUUGGUCCAAUGCCAGCUCUGCCGGAGCAAAUGUGUUAAGUACUCCGCCUGGGGAGUAUGGUCGCAAGGCUA
This 376-nucleotide ribosomal RNA is filed under the name uncultured bacterium. RNAcentral's name for it is "bacterial SSU rRNA". It matches the Rfam family "Bacterial small subunit ribosomal RNA", at positions 521 to 896 of the family's 1533-position model. The record is from RNAcentral.